CGGCCGCCUGUUUAUCAAAAACAUAGUUAAAAGCAUUAAUUUUUAAUUAUUUCUGCCCAGUGUAUUAUAUAAACGGCCGCAGUAAUUUGACUGUGCUAAGGUAGCAUAAUCAAUUGGCUUUUAAUUUGAGUCUGGAAUGAAAGGAUUUAUGAAGAUUUACUGUCUCAAAUAUAUAUUAUUGAAUUUAUUAAAAAAGUGAAAAUACUUUUAUUAUUAAAAAAGACGAGAAGACCCUAAGAAUUUUUAGAAUAUAUUAUAAAUUAUUUCUUUUUGUUGGGGCGACAAUUAAACAAUAGAACUUUAAUUAUUUUGUCAAUCGGUUUUUUCAGUAAAAAAUAAAUUACCUUAGGGAUAACAGCAUAAUUUUUAAAAGUUUGUGACCUCGAUGUUGGACUAGGAACUUUAUAGCUAGCAGUUAAAAAAGAUUGUUCUGUUCGAACAAUAUUUUCCUACAUGAUCUGAGUUCAAACCGGAGCUCCA
RNAcentral lists this ribosomal RNA (480 nucleotides) under Ancylus sp. B CA-2005. Its description in RNAcentral is "partial 16S ribosomal RNA". It matches the Rfam family "Bacterial large subunit ribosomal RNA", at positions 1788 to 2628 of the family's 2925-position model. The record is from RNAcentral. Lineage: Eukaryota; Metazoa; Mollusca; Gastropoda; Ancylidae.